Molecule: transfer RNA, 75 nt
Filed under: Candidatus Peregrinibacteria bacterium
Lineage: Bacteria; Candidatus Peregrinibacteriota
Description: tRNA-Arg
Rfam family: tRNA
About the family: Transfer RNA (tRNA) molecules are approximately 80 nucleotides in length. Their secondary structure includes four short double-helical elements and three loops (D, anti-codon, and T loops).
Source: RNAcentral
GUCCCCGUAGUUCAAUGGAUAGAACGAAGGUUUCCUAAACCUUAAAUGCAGGUUCGAUUCCUGCCGGGGACACCA